RNAcentral lists this long non-coding RNA (472 nucleotides) under Rattus norvegicus (Norway rat). RNAcentral describes it as "long non-coding RNA NONRATT014095". Lineage: Eukaryota; Metazoa; Chordata; Mammalia; Rodentia; Muridae. The record is from RNAcentral.
CCCCCCAAAAAAUCGGACAGGAAAGCCUACUUUCAGCUCAGUGAGGCAUCUUCUCCCUGAUGGCCAAAAUCAACACAAAGACAACACAAGGAAGGGAUACCUCGGGCAAGUCUCCAUCACACUUAUUCAUGCAGAAAUCUUCAAAAUAUUAUCCAAUCUAACUCCCCGAUAUGGGAACAUGUUAUACACCAUUCCCAAGCAGAAGAGGCAGCUCUGCAAAGAAGAUAUGCAAGUGGCCAUGGUCGCAAAGGUCUUCAGCAUUAAUUCAUUAUCAGGGCAAUGCACAUCAAACCACCACAGCAUAAUCACCGUAAACCUAUGAGGAUGGCCGCUGUCGAAGUCUGGUGUUGUUUAUUGGUGUCCAGGGUGCACUGUUGGGUGAAAUGUAAAUUGGUACAACAAUAUGAAAAAGUGGAUGGGCAUUCCUCAAAACUUAAAUUAGAAAAUUUAAUAGCAGAGAAAAAAAAAGAAA